Molecule: ribosomal RNA, 497 nt
Filed under: uncultured bacterium
Lineage: Bacteria
Description: partial 16S ribosomal RNA
Rfam family: Bacterial small subunit ribosomal RNA
Source: RNAcentral
GAUGAACGCUGGCGGCGUGCCUAAUACAUGCAAGUCGAGCGGACAGAUGAGGAGCUUGCUCCUCUGACGUUAGCGGCGGACGGGUGAGUAACACGUGGAUAACCUACCUAUAAGACUGGGAUAACUUCGGGAAACCGGAGCUAAUACCGGAUAAUAUAUUGAACCGCAUGGUUCAAUAGUGAAAGACGGUUUUGCUGUCACUUAUAGAUGGAUCCGCGCCGCAUUAGCUAGUUGGUAAGGUAACGGCUUACCAAGGCAACGAUGCGUAGCCGACCUGAGAGGGUGAUCGGCCACACUGGAACUGAGACACGGUCCAGACUCCUACGGGAGGCAGCAGUAGGGAAUCUUCCGCAAUGGGCGAAAGCCUGACGGAGCAACGCCGCGUGAGUGAUGAAGGUCUUCGGAUCGUAAAACUCUGUUUUUAGGGAAGAACAAAUGUGUAAGUAACUAUGCACGUCUUGACGGUACCUAAUCAGAAAGCCACGGCUAACUACGUG